CCAAACAUCAUCCAGGACAAACAGUACAGGAUUUUGUGAUGUUUCCUUCAGAAAUAGUUGCAACCAGUAAACUGCAAUUACUUCAUUUUCGAAAGCAGGCACCUGGGAACCCUUGCGUUGAUAUAGCUCAUGUACAAUAAGGUCCAAGUUGGGAUUUUUUGAAAGAGUGACGAAGAAGAUAUUGUUCUUGAAUUUAUCUAUCCAAAUACAAUUUAAGAGAAGUGUCACUAAAAGCUCAUUGAAAUAUGUCUCCAAUUGUGCAAAGGAAAACAAUAUACACAAAUGGUGGUCAUACAAAACAAUAUAAUUGGAAGCCUAACAUAUGCACAUAGUAAAGUGAGGCAACAUUCUUAAGAAGACAUAUCCCAGUCAUGAAGUUAUAAAAUCCUUGGUUACUUCUUCUGAAGUAAUAAUUCCUAUCAGUGAGAUGCGGUGAAUAUAUUCCUGUAAAGCUAUAACUGUAGAGAACAACUACAUUUAAAGGUUGAAUAAGAUAUCAGAAAUAUAGAACAGAGAGACUUGAGUCUCCCUAAAACCUCUGUCCCUUAGCCAUGCAUAUUGAUAUAAGUUUGACAUAAAUUUUCAAUCAAAUAAGACAUACGAUUCAGGCAACGGCUCACUACAAGAUUAGUGGCUUGAAAUGAAGCUAUGUAAAUAUGUUAAUUUGUUCAGAUGGAUCAGAUUUGGGUAUAUUUAUGUUAACCACCAACAAAAGGGAACUUAAAGAAAAUUGGUAUCUUCCACAUACCACUAAAACAAAUAAAAUCAUGUCAAGUUUCAUAUCAUAAUACCACUACCAUUAGACUACUAGUAUAGCACUUUUCAACUAGGAAGUAAAACUGCUUUACCAAUUAGAACUGAAAAAAAGAAGGUUGAUAUACCUUUAACUUCCUGAUCUUGACAAAACUUUUUUGCCAAUGUGGUUUUCCCACAUCCACCAGCAGCAGUCAGCACAAGCAUUGACACAUCAUCCUUAAGAAGCUUUAUCUUCAAUUCUUUCAAUGGCACAUCCAACCCAACUGUAACCGGUGGAGGUUCAGGCACUGAAGACCAACCAUUGAUUUUUUCAGGUUGGUUUUGCAUCACCAAGUUCCCUUCAAUUCGAUGCAGCACCGUCUCUAUAUUCCUCAAAGAAACCAAGGUCUCCUUGACAUCCCUUAUGCCCUGCACUUUCAACACCUCCACUAGUCUUUGAAGACAUUUAUCCAAUUCAUCAAGCUUUCUGGUGUAUCUGUAUUUUCUGCACCAGCUCCACACACCAACCUUGCUGCAUUUGUAAACAAGCUUUACCCCCUCCUCCAUUUGCAUUGCAAAAUUUUCUAGCCCCUCCUUUGAGUCAUAUUUUUCUCUCUCUUUGAUCACUGGCUGUAAAGAGUCCAGUGUGGAUUUGAUAUCUCCAAGCAUGGAUUUAAACAUGGUAGUCUCCUUCUUCACUGCUAUAACAGCAUCAAAUAGCAUUUGAAAUGCUACUCUAAAAGUACCCCCUCCGACUAAAUCCACUGCCAUGAGUAUAAAAUAAUACCCAACACCAAAAUCAGACAAAUUCUAUUUGUUUCAAAUAAAAAACCCAAACAACACGAAGACUCAAUGAUCUCCUUGCUCUGAUGAAACAGGACAGAAAUCCAAUAAAUGCUUUCUGAGAUGAAAGAGAGUAUAAUCUAGUUCAGUGGCAAAGAAUGCUAUGGAGAUGUAGUUUGCAACUCUCUGAACUUAUAUGAUGAGAGAGAGAAGAUUCCAAGUUGGAGCUCUAUAACUUUUUGAUUGACUGAUUGACUGAUUGACUAAAGCAAACGCAGUUUCCGAGUGUAAGGUUGUACUAAUUCGAGAAACUGCAACCAUUUGAUCACCAAAAAAACACAAGAAACUGCUACGAACACCAGAUUUUUGUUUCUGCAAUUUACCGUGUCUCGGAAACAUCGGGGGCAGAUGAUCAGACCGUGCACGCGGUGGAGAAAACAAGCCCUAAUUUCGUUAAACUUUUUUUUCUUCUUUUCUUUUGGCAAUUGCGAGGAUAGAGUUUAAAGAAAUAGGUCACAUUACACUUUUGUCCCUGUAGUUUGAGUAAUUUUUCACUUUUGUACCGUAGUUUCAGUUGUACCUACCAAUCCUAGUUAUGUAAUUUACUUUUGCAAUUUUGAUCCCAAUUGUUAAUUCUGUUAAAAUUGAAGAUGUAAAUCUGAUAUGGCAGCUUGUAUGUGAAGAAGUAAAAAUAAGCAAACUACAUACUAAAAUUGUCAAAAUUUGAAACAGUUUUACUAAAGUGUAAUUUGACCAAAGAAAUAAUACGAGAAAUGACACAGGGAAAUAGUGGUGGAGCCAUAAAGGAAUAAGGUGGUGCAGUUGCAUUUUCUCUCACCGAAAAAUCUCUUGGAAAGGUCGGGAUUUAACCCUAAGAUGGCGCCCACCAUGUAUUCGACUAAAUGGCUCAAAGAGACUUCGUUGUUUUGUUUGUUUGUGAUUUUUUUUUUCCACGAAUUAUGAAUGACAUUAGUAUUGUUUAAAUUCUAAGGGUAUUUGGUUUUUUUUUUUUGGUUGUUGAACUUUUAGCCUUUUAAAUAUUGCCUCUCUCUGAAAACUUCUUGACUCCGCAAUUGCAAGUAUUAAUGGAAAAUUACUCAAAAUGCAAGGAUCAAAAGUAUAAUUUGGCCAAAGAAAUAAUACGAGAAAACAAAACAUAGGGGUGGGUAUGGACUGAUUAUAUCGAUUAAAGGAUUUACUCAUUUUUCAUAAAAAUUUAUAAUAAAAAAACUAGUCAUGCGCUAGUAAACUUCAAAAGAAAUAAUCAGAGAAACAAAACGUAGGAGUAGGUAUGGACGGGCUAUUCUAGACAGAACAAAGGAGCUGCUCUUGGAAGACGCAAAGGUUGGAUAUGAAUGGGGGGGAUAUGUUUUUUUUUUUUUGGGCGGAAAUGGGGAUAUGUUUAUGUUUUUUAGGCAAGAUGAGAAAGAUUCGCACAAAUAUUUUGUCUCUCCAUCACAGAUCACUUCCUGCUGCAACCUUGAGCACUGUCUCUGUCUUUCGUCAUAGAAGGUACAUUAGUAUAUGGUACGAAGGAAAAAGGUAGAGAAGAAAAUUAAGACAAACUGAUGGUGGUAAAUCCAAAUCCUCUCAUUCACUUUGUUUUUACAACGCAAAAUGAAAACCAAAAAACGUAAAAGAGAAGAAAAGUAGGAAAAAGAAAUAUGGAAACACAAAUCACAGAGACAUUGCACCAACAUUUGUUAAGGACAGUCAGCUCUCAAGGCUUGCAGUAGAGCCAAUUAAGGUUGUGUUGUUCUUUUGCCACUGUUAUGUUUAUGUUUAUGAGACUGGAUUUGAAAGGCUCCCCCCAUAAGUUUUCUGUCUCUUCAUCACAUAUCAGUUCCCGUAACUCCCCAAGAUUCAAAACUGAUUGAGGCAACCCUUGCAGUCUUGAGCAUUGUCCCAUGUUGAUCUUUCUUAAACUACUCAUUUCACCAAUCUCUUCAGGCAGCUUCUUAAUGCUCGAACAAUUAUAUAUGUCAAGAAAGCUUAACUUGUUUAGGUUCUUAAUCGAGCCUGGAAGCCUUUCCAACUCUGUGGAGGACCUUAGCCUUAAUACCUCCAAAUUGACCAGCUUUCCAAUCUCUUUAGGCAAGGCAGAUAGCUUAUGACAAUUGGUAAUACUGAGCUUCUUUAGGCGGAUAAGAUCACAGAGCUUGGCAGGCAAUUCCACCAAAUCAUUGCAAUAGUCGAUGUUCAUUUCCACUAGAUUUGGAAAUGCCUCUAAGAUUUGGAUGGAAGAGUUGCUAAAAGCUUGACCGAUGCUGCACAUGAAUAAAGAUAUCUUCUGCAGACUCUUCAACUGCAUGGAGUUCUUGCUUAUGGAAGGAAUUGAAAUGCGCUCCAAUCUUAUUCUCUUCAGAUUAGCCAAAGAACCCAAAAGCUUGAAAUUACUCAAGUCAGCUUGUAAGACACCACAAUUUGUGACUAUUAGAACCUUCAACUUGGACAUUUUCUUCACAAACUUGGGCAGAACAUAGUUCUCUGUCUGAAAAUUCAGAACUAGAACCUCAGCUUUUGGUAGAUGCAUGUCGUGCCAUUUUGCUGAGGACAAUCCAUCUGCAAACCAAAGCUAUAUGAUGUAAGUUUUGGGGAAACAUUAAUGCAAAAGGGGAAACAUUAAUGCAAAAGUACCAUAUUCAAGCCUUAGUUUAUGUUUUUGGUAAAGAAGGAGAGAUGGGACAACCAGUUGAGAUAGACAAUAACCGGGUCUUUUUGGGUUUAUCCUUCUGUUCUGUCCACCCAUUAGGGAGAUUGUCACCACAAAUUUCUAUAAUCAGCCUUUUCUCCUGUCCAAUUUCAUCUUGACCAGUCUGAUGGAUAGCAAGAUUUCUAAGCAUGUCAUGCUGGGUAACAAAGUGUUCACUGUAAUAGCCAUCCAUCUCCAUCUUCCCAUUCCUGUUUAAGAUCAUAAUUAUUUUCUUAGCUAGUCAUAAAUAUAAAAAAGAAAGGGUAAAGUGGAGAAGAGAGAUCAAAGACGAGAUGAAUAGAAGCUUGCAUACCUUGAAACUAGAUUGGCCAAAUUACGAUUGGUUAGCUCGUGGAUGUGUGCAAUGGACCAAAAGUCCUCAUCUAGCCCAUAUAACUCUGCCCACAUAUCAAUGAGAGCAACAGCAGGGAUACAUCUGUCUUCAGGAAAUGAAGCAAGAUCAAUGAAGCAUUCCUUGAUGACAGCCAACCGUUCAUCCAAGGCAUCUAAGCUACUUUUGAGGCAAGCAAACAAAUAAUCCUCAGAAUCAAGAAUUGAAGAACCUCUAGACAAUUCCGCUACUCUUUUCUUCCAGAUCUCUGUUGGCCGUUCGCAAACUGAUCUUCCGAUCGUUGUAAUGGCAAGUGGAAAUCCCUUACAGAGCUGAACUAUCUGCAGUUAAAUUGUCCCAAAUGAAGUCAAUUACUAUUUGAGUUGCACAUCGAAAAUUUGACUUCAUCACCAAAUCAUAUCAAUUGUUUAAUGAAGAUAAGAAAAUGGUUAACCGGGUAUAUACUUUUCUUUAUUCUUAGUUUAGAGUUAGUUCAUAAGUAAAGUAGGCAUAAAAGUAUAUGCAUCUGCAGCUAUUGGUGUUGUUCAUUUUCGUGUAUGGACAGUUCUUAUAGAAAAUGAAGGUGAUAUGCAAACAAGAAAUCACCUGUUUCGCUAGAUCUUCCGGAAUAUCAAAGCUCCUAUCUGGUCGGGAUGCUGCAUGACGAAAAAGAGUCAUUGCAUCUCCUUGUUCCAAUGUUCCUAACGGAUAUGCAGGGCCAAAUCUUGGAAAUUGAAAUCUUGAUGUCACCAAUAUGUUGUAAUUUGGCCUUUUGAAUUGACCAAACUUAUCAAGAAGGGAUUCUGAUCCUAGCCAUACAUCAUCCAGGACCAAAAGUAGAGGAUCCUGUCCUGUUUUCUUCAGAAAUUCUUGCAGCCAGUUAAAGGCAAUUGCUUCCUCUUGGAGAGCAGGUACCAGGGAUCCCCUUUUUUGACACAGUUCUUGUACAACAAGGCAGUUGGUUCUCUUUGAAACAACGACAAAGAAGAUAUUGCUCCUGAAUUUCUCUGCCCAAGUAGAACAAAAGAAAGCAGUCACCAAGUGGCCAUUUAAAUCUGUCCACAAUUCUCAAAUUCUUUCUUCAACCGAUUCAUUCUAGAUUAUAACUACAGAACUUUUCAAUUUAGGAAUCAAAACUUCACCAAUUUGUAUAUAUAAAAAAAUAGGAAUUGAUAUACAUAUAUACCAUACCUUUGACUUUCUGAUCUUCGCAAACCUUUUGUGCCAGUGUGGUUUUCCCGCAUCCUCCAAGACCAGUCAGCACAAGCAUUGAUGCCUCGUCCUUAAGAAGCUCCAACUUCAACUCCUCCACAUGCACAUCCAAUCCAACUGUAAAGGGUGGAGGCUCAGGUAUUGCAGACCAACCUUUAAUUUGAUUUACAUUUUGGUUUUGUGCCGCAAUAUUCGCAUCGAUAUGGUUCACCACUGUCGCCACAUUGAUAACCCGAGCCCUCAGGUCACUUGCUAUGUGCGCUGUCAGUACACUUAACAGUGUUCUAAGAGAUGUAUCCAAUGCAAUAAGUUUUCUGGUGUACCGCUUAUUGAACACGUUCGGCUUCCAUGGACAAACCUUGGAGCACUUUUCAACGAGCUGAACACCCUUCUCCAUUUGUAUUUCAAACCUUUCUAGGCCCUGCAUUGGGCGAAACAAUAUGUUGGGAUGUUGCCUUACAUCUUCAUCCACUUGUUGAAACAAGUCUAGGGUGCAUUUGAGAUCUCUGAGGUGGGUUUCAAACAUUGUAGCCUCUGACGUCACUGCUAUAACGCCAUCAAGCAGCGCUCCAAAUACCGCUCCUAGACCAGCUCCUCCUACCGCAGCAAAUGCCAUAAAUACACUCAAACAACACCCAACUCUCAAGCUUUGUAUUUGUUUGAGUCUAAUCUGAGACAAGAAAUCAGUCUAUGUCUGUGCAGAUUACGAAAUGUGGAGAAAGUGGGAGACUCUUGACAGAGACCUGGGACCCAAGAAAAACAAUGUGAAUAUAUCGGUGAGAGAAUCUCUGGGUCAAUAAGGAAAGCUCGAUCGAAGCUCGGUCGUACUUUCUAGGAAAUUAUGUGUUCUUUUUAGGAAACUUUCGUAACAAGUAAAAUAAGCUUCCACACUGAAAGUGGGUCAUUAACGACAAGUUAGUCAAAGUUUUAGCAAAGCCAGUAGGACCACAUUUCGUUAAGAUAAUGAUUUCCCCACUCAAAUUGAAAUGGGGAAAUCACCACUCAUGGUUAAUUUCCUCCCAUAUAAUGUUCUUUAGGAAGUCCCGAUGGAAACCUCAGUAGGACCACAUUAGUAAUUUGGUAGGAAAUUAUAAGUGUUCUUUUUAGGAAACUUUCGUAACAAUUCCACACUGAAAGGUAGUGGGGCAAUUGACGACCACAUAAGAGCAGACACGUUUGUAACAAAGCCCACAAUUGAACACUUGGUUUUUUUUUUUGGAUAGGAUUGAACACUUAGUUAUACACUGUUUCUUUUUACAAAGCAAUAGCUCAACUAUUUACCCAAAAAAAAAAAAAACAUAAACCAUAAAGAGAGGAAAUUAAAUUCAGGGAAAAAGAAAAAUUUAAACACAAAUCAGCAGAGGCAGCUAAAAUAUUUAUUGAGGAAAUAAAAAUCUCAAGAUGGAAGCUUGUGGAGUCAAUUUAGGUUGAUAUCUUCUUUGACCACCUUUAUGUGUAUGUUUUCGAGUAGGGAUAAGAAGGAUUCCCAUAAAAUUUCUGUCUCUGAAACACAUAUCACAUCCUUCAACUGCUCAUGGUCCAAAAACUGAUGCAGGCAGGUCUUGCAAUCUUGAGCAUUGUCUCAUGCUGAGCUUUUUUAAACUGCAUGUCUCACCAAUGUGUUCAGGCAACUCCUUAAUGCUAAAGCAAUAGGAUAUGUCGAGAAAUUUUAACUUUUUAAGGUUCCUAAUCGAGCCUGGCAACUCUAACAAGUCUGUACAUGACCUAAGCCUCAACACUUCCAAACUGACUAGCUUUCCAAUCUUUUCAGGCAAGGUGGAUAAGUUAAUGACAGUUGGUGAUGCUAAGCUCCUUAAGGCAAAUGAGAUCACAAAGCUCGCACUACUACAAAAAAGCAAAAAGACGACGGUAAAUCACCGUCGUGUAUUUGGUUUUUCAAUGGUCGUGGAAUCCACCGUCAUCUUUUCCCUCAUAAACCACGACGCUAAAUAACCGUCGUUGUUAAACAAUACAACGUCAUCAAAAAAUACAAAACGACGUCUUUGUACUGCAAAAAGAUCUAAAAAAAGCAAUCGAGGAUGAUAAUAGACGACCAAUUCUCUAAAAAAACCGUCGUUAAAAAGGGAAAAUAUGACACAUAUUAAGAGAACAAAGCCGCAAGAUAGACAUACAACGACGACAAUAAAAAUACGCCGACGUUAAAUAUAAUUUUCACGACAAUAAAAAAUAUGACGUCUUUAAAUACAUUAGAAGACGACGUUAUUGAUACCUACUACGUCGCACAUAUAAACACAACCGUCGUACAAUUAAUUUUCCACUUCGAUUUUUCGAUAAAAGAUGACGUGGAAAUAGUUGUCAGUGUCAUUAUUUACGACGUAUGUGUUUCUAUAGUAGACGUUGAAAAACUAAACAACGUCAGUUACAAAUAUAUGAGAGUCGUAUUAAAAAAUUUAUACGUCCUAUUUUCAGAAACAAACAACGACCAUAAAUAUUAGACGUUGUUAAAUACAACAACGUCGGAAAACAAUAAAAACAGACGUGUUUAGUCUGCUAAAGUUCUACAACGUCUCUUAUUUACAAAAAACCGUCGUGAAAUAAAUUUUCCACUUCGAUUUUUCUAAAAAAGAUGACGUGGAAAUAGUUGUCAGUGUCAUUAUUUACGACGUAUACAUUUAUAUAGUCGACGUUGUAUUUAUAUGUAUUCAUUACUCACGACGCACUUAAUAAUAUAGACGACGUUGAACGUCUAAACAACGUCGGUUCCAAAUAAAUGAGAGCCGUAUUACAGAACAUAUAGACGGCGUAGAUUAUGAUGGGAGCCGUAUUACAAAUAACGUCGUUUAAUUGUUAUUAGACGGCGGUUAUAAUGAAUUUCCGUCGGAAUUAAUUUCGUUCCUCUUCGUUUAUAAAAGAACUUGCGACGUGGAAAAUGUAUGAUGACGUCGUAUUUUUUAACGUUCAGAUUACAUAUCUCGUUUUUUAGACGUCGGUAUUAUGGGAUUGGAGUCGUGUUAUUUUGAAUUACAUGGCGGUUCUUUAUCCUUCACCGACGUGAUAUCCUGAAUAAUUGCUUCACAAUAGCGUCGUGGUUCUUCAUUGUUACGUUGCUUUAAGACGUCGGUAAAUAUGCUGAAUAACUGAUUCACAAUAACGUCGUGUUUUAUUUGAACGUAGAAAGUGAAGAAAUCACAUUACAAUAUAUUACAAAAUUAAUGUCAUACACUGCCAAUUACAUAAGCAUCAUUCAAUCCAUAUAUCUUCACACCCAUCUCGAAUAUUUUGACCGCCUAACUCACCUACCAGUUCAUCAAAUGUGUCAACAUUUGGCAUCCCUCUAGUAAAUGGCUCACACUCAAUUAUCACAUCACCUAAUACUUCAUCACCAAUAACAUCAUUAUAUUCUCUACUAGGCAUUGAUAACACUACCGACCAACCACGAUGCAUCAGGUCGUCAACAAAAAAUAUUUGUUUGACUUGAGAAGCCAAAACAAAUUGGUCAUUCCUAUGUCCAAUUUUACUCAAAUCUACAAGGGUAAAUCCAAGUUCGUCGACUACAAGACCAGAACUAUCUAUCCAAUCACACCUAAAGACUGGGAUUGUAAACUUUUGGUAGUCAAGGUCCCAAAUUUCUUGAAUGACACCAUAGAAACCCAUAUUUGAGAGAAUUGGGUUUUUAUCCUUGGCACUAGCAACUUGCAUGGUAUGUGCAAGUAAAUAAACUCCACUAUUUUGAGUUGUCCGCACAUCAUCUUGUGCCUUGAUAUUGAAUUUAAUACCUUUAAUAAGAUAGCUCCUAUAUAAUGGCACUGACAUGUUUGGACCAGCUGCUAGCCACCUUAAAUUUUCUGAUACGCCAUGAUUGUCUUCCUCAACUUCACGUUGAACCUGCAAAUUAAUCAUAUCUUAAUUCAUCCUAACAUAUAAAUAAGAAGAAAAUUAAAAGAGAAAUACGUUAUUCAACAACAUAUACCUUGAAGCGUAGCCAUUGAAUGAAAGUGCUAUUGUGCUUAUCCUGCAGCCACUUUGUUCUCUUUCUAAAUUUUGGAUAAGCAGUCUUGAUGUGGAUCAUAUGUUGCCUACAUGACACGAAAAAUUCAAGCAUUACGGUCCCAAAUAUAUAAGAUAAACAUAAGAAAUAAUUUUAAAUGGAAACUUAAAGAAUAAAACUCAUACGUACUCGAUAUAAGGUAGGACUUCCUCCGUAUUCUCCAAGACAUAUAGAUGUGCUUGAUUCAACAGGUCCUGAUCAACUACGCUCACUGUGCAACCUGAUAAUGGCUUUGAAACUCCCAUCUUUUGGCUUGAAGGCACUCCAACUGUACUAACAUCAGAUAAAUGCUGAGUACAAAACUCUACCACUUCUUCAGCUAUAUACCGCUCAGCAAUGCAACCUUCGGGACGAGUACGAUUCUGAACAUACCCCUUCAGCACUUUCAUAUAUCUUUCAAACGGAUACAUCCACCUAAAAUAUACUGGCCCACAUAGACGAACUUCUCUGACAAGAUGUACUACUAGAUGAACCAUGAUAUCAAAGAAUGAAGGGGGAAAGUACUUCUCAAGCAAACACAGAGUAACUACUAUAUCUUCUUCCAACUUAUCUAGCUUGGAAACAUCAACAGUCUUUGCACAUAUAGCAUUGAAGAAGAAGCACAAACGAGUUAUUGCAUACCUUGCAGGCUUCUCCAAAACAGAACGAAUUGCCACAGGGAGCAAUUGUUGCAUUAAGGUAUGACAAUCAUGUGAUUUAAGGCCAAGAAGUCUUGAAUCUUGUACAGAUACAAGAUUUUUAAUAUUUGAAGAAUAACCUUCAGGGACCUUCAUACCAUAGAAAGAAUUGCAAACCUCUCUCUUCUCUGCUCUUGACAAAUUCCAAGGCCCAGGAGGCAAACGAGUACGUCUUUCUCCAUACUCGGGUUGCAAAUCAGUUUUGACCCCCAUGUUCAAUAAAUCUAAUCGAGCAGCAAUCUCAUCUUUAUUUUUUCCAGGGAUCUCCAGCAAUGUACCAAUGAUACUAUCGCAAACAUUCUUCUCAAUGUGCAUAACAUCUAGGGCAUGCCUCACAGGAAGGUAUUUCCAAUACUCGAGAUCAAAGAAUAUUGAUUUCUUCUUCCAACAAACUCUGUCACCAUUUUCAACCAUAUGCAGCACUUCUUCUCCGGUUAAUGGCUCUGGAGGUAUGCCAUAUUCAGGUUUCCCAUUAAAAGCUGCACGUUGCCUCCUAUAUGGAUGAUUGAUUGGUAACCAUUUUCUAUGCCCAAUGUAACAAAUUUUGUGGCCAUUUUUCAACCUGUGACUAGGUGUAUCAUCGCCGCAUAUUGGACAAGCUUUAUAUCCUUUAACAACACAACCAGAUAAGUUUCCAUAGGCGGGGAAAUCAUUAAUUGUCCACAUUAAUGCAGCUCUGAGUGUAAAGUAUUCUCCAUUAUGUGCAUCAUACACUCCUCUAAUCCCAACCCACAAGGAUUUUAAAUCAUCAAUCAAAGGCUCCAAGUAGACGUCUAUAUCAUUUCCGGGUUGUUUAGGACCGGAAAUCAAUAAGGUUAACAUCAUGAACUUUCGUUUCAUGCACAGCCAUGGAGGGAGAUUAUAUGUAACUAAGAUAACCGGCCAACAACUAUAUCUGCUACUUAGAGAACUGUGGGGAUUGAAUCCAUCAGAUGAAAGAGCCAAUCUCAAGUUUCUCGGCUCAUUACCAAACUCAGGCCAUUUAUCAUCAAGAAGUUUCCAAGACGGGGAAUCCGCCGGAUGAGACAUCUGACCGUCAAUUGAUUUUCUAGCAACAUGCCACCAAGUCAAACUCUUAGCUGUCUCAUGUGAUUGAAACAUCCUUUUAAACCUUGGAAUUGGGGGAAAAUACCACACCACCUUCGCUGACACACCCUCUUUCAAGAUUGCAUCUUUGCCUUCCUUCCACCUUGAGAUACCACAAGUAGGACAAUUAGUUGAAUCCUCAUACUCCUUCCUAUACAAGAUGCAAUCAUUGGGGCAUGCGUGCAUUUUCUCAUAACUCAGCCCCAAUGCACACAAAGUCUUUUUAGCCUCAUACAUGGAGGUUGGUAUUGUAUUUCCUUCUGGAAGCAAAUCGCCUUGAAGUAUCAAUAAUUCUGUAAAACAGACAUCACUCAUCCCAUGUUUUGCCUUCAAAUUAUACAACUUCACUAAUGCCGAUAACUUCGUGUACUUUCUACAACCAGGGUACACUGGUUGAUCUCCAUCCCCAAUCACAUUGGCAAACUCAUACGGAUCCGAACCAAAAUCACCAAAAUCAUUAUCAUCCAUAUCAAUUUCUUCAGACACAAAACUGUACCUACUAUGGCCAUCAUCUUCUUCAACAUUUCUGCUAGCAUUAGUAGUUGCUUCCCAAGGUUCUCCGUGAAAUGUCCAAUUCUUAUAGCUUUGGUCAAUUCCAUUAAAGUAUAAGUGAUCCCUUAUAAUUCCAACCCCAAACAACUUCAAAUUAACACAUUUAACACAUGGACAACGGAUAUGUGUUGUAGUUAGAAGAUUUUCUACAGCAAAGUUCAAAAAUGCUUCCACCCCAAACUCAUAUGCCUUCGAUCUUCUAUCCGAGUGCAUCCAUGACUUAUCCAUCUCCGACACUAUAACCUAUUAUCUAUAAUAAAGUGAAAAUACAGGCAAUGACCAUCACUAUAGCAGAUUAUACAAUGAUCUAAUCGCAAGUAAUAAACAACAGAGACGACGAGUUUUAAUCAAAAACAGACGUAUUUGGCAUAUAUAGACGACGGAUUUUCAACAGACGUCGUCUAUUAUACGUAAUACAAACGACGGUUUAUGAAAAAACCGUCGUGUAUAAGUAAUACAACGACGGUAGUUUAAAAACACCGUCGUGUAAUCGUCGUCGUACGCCUUAAAAUUCGUCGUGUCUCAGUUUAUUUUCAAGAACACAAAACCCAUUAAGAACACAACAUAUAUAUGAAACCAAGCAAGAAACCAACAUAUACAUGAAACCAAGCAUGAAAACAAUAAAUCCAUUCCCAAUUCAACAUAACAUAGGGUGAUUAAAAGAUACGACAAAAUUAAAUCCAUUCCCAAUUCAACAUAACAGAUAAUGUAAUCCAUGAACCCAUUAAACAGAAAAUCCAUGAACCCAUACCUAUAAGCAUUGGUGCACUUUGCACCUUCUCCAGAGCGGAAAAUGACAAGAUCAAAUAAAGGUGUCCUUUUGCUGGAAAUCAUUUGGAAGUUGGUGAUGUGUCUUUUUGUGUUGAUUUCCAGCAAAAGUACACCUUUAUUUGAUCUUGUCAUGAACCCAUUAAACAGAAAAUCCAUGAACCCAUACCUAUAAGCACAUUAUUAACAGAUCGCAAAGCAUAUACCUAAAACCCUUUAACAAAACAACCUAAUAUCAUUCAAUGAAUUUACAAGGGGAAGAUAGGGUUUGUACUUACAGGUUGGACGAGCUCACAGAUUCGACGAGCCUGGAGAGUGCAACUUUUAAUUAGAGCAGAAGUGAGAGAGCGAAAUGUUAUGUCGCGUGAAAUCUGAAAUUUUAGGUUUCAGGGAUCAAAGUAUAAGAAUAAGAGCCAAAUCUAAAAAAAUUUAGGUCGCGCGAAAAUUUUUAGAGCGCGCGCGUUAUAAAACGUCGAAAGAAAAACCAAGGCGAAAGUUCUACAAGUACCGACGUAAAUUUAAUAUUCCACGACGGAAACUUCAUUUUUCGGAUUAAGAACGUAAGGCUGUUCAUUUUUCGGAUUAAUUUUAAAUUUAUUUUGAAUUUUUUAUAUAACGACGACUGAAAAACCACGUCGGUGUUAAGAAAUUAAAGACGUUGUAAAUUAUAUAAACCGACUUACAUAUUAAAACAACGUCGUUUAAAGCGUAAACCAUGUCGUAUGUUUUACUGUACGACGUAAAAUAUGUAUUCCACGACCCAACCACCGUCGUUAAAAAUUAAUACACUAAACCCAUAAAAUUAAAUUAUACAAUUUAAAAAAUUAAGUUUAUAAAAGGUUUUAUGGUUUUAAAGCCUAACAUAUAACAUAGACUACCCAAAAAUUAUACUUUAAAAAUAAACCCCAAUAAAUAACAACCCUAAUCUCUAAACCCUAGACUCUAAACCCUAAACCAUAAAACUAGAAGUGAUUUUAUGACUCAUCAAAACAAUUUUGUUUUGGAUGGUCAUUUUAAAUUUUUGUUAUUCAAAAUGAAUUUUUUCAAGGUUUAUGUGGAAGAAAAUAUAUCAAUGACUUCAUAGGAGUUGACUUUUCAAUUUUCUGAUUUAUUUUAUAUUUAUUUUGAAUAUUUUGAUAUAAAAAUAAUAAAAUAUUCUUACCAUACAACAAACCACGUCGGUGUUAAAUAAAUUGUAGACGUUGUAAAUUGUAAUAGACUACUAAGUCGUUAAAAUGACGUCGUUAAAAUGAGAAACCAUGGCGGCUAUUUAACUAUACGACGUAAAAUAUAUAUUUUACGACUUAACCGCAGUCGUUACAUAAACGUCGUCGAUUAUACCCUGAACCCUUAAGAAAUUGAAGAUAUUGUAAACCAUUAACGACUCAAUUGUUCAAAGAACGUCGUCUAACUAUUUUUUUACGUCGUAUUUGUUUAAAACACGCAACAACAAAAUACGACGGUUAUUGACUUUAUUAGGUCGUUGGAAAAGUAUUACACGUCGGUUAAGCAAUUUGUAUGUUUGUUUUUUUUUUAAUUUAAGAAAACCUCAACAAAUUUUUACAUUACAUAUUAUAGAGAAAAUUGGUACAUUAUACAUAAAUAUCAAGUGUUCAAUAAUUGCCCUGUUUAAUAAUUUGGAAAACAAACUCUGCCCAUUCAUUCCGGACUUCAUCAAUGGCUUCUUGGGGGUAUGAAGCUUCCUGGUUUCCCUUGGCAUACUGCAUAAACAAUGACUAUUAGGGUUUAUAAAUAAAAAGAAAUUCAAUCACAGACGACGAUAUUUUUCAUAACCGACGUAGUAUAUCCAUUCAACGACGUUAAUUUUACACGACCGUCGUUGAUAAUACAAAAAACGACGUGAAAUGUAUGAAGGUAAUUUCUUCUUACCUUAUUCUCAAACCCCAAGGAAGGAUCCAUGAUGAUGUCCCUCACGAAGCGCAUUACAUAAUACCCGCAUUCGACAUUGCUGGGUUGCUUUGGUGUGCCUGAGAGAGUUUUCCAAAUUACAUUUUUACGUCCUGCUCGGGCUAUGUGGGUAUUAUAUAUUUUUAAAGCACUGUUCACGAUGUUUUUGGCCUCUUCAUCGACCACACGAUUUCCUGGCAGUGGAUCCAGAAAAUAGACGGUUUCUCUCUUUGCUCUUACAAUCAGCAAAAUCCAAUGACGGCUGCACAAAAUUAAUAUAAAAACGACGGUUAUUUACAAAAACGACGUAUUAUAGUAUUUCACACGACGAAGUAAAGUAGCUAACGACGACAUUAUAUAUUUAUCACGACGAUAAAUAAAUACCGACGUGGUUAGUAGUUUCAAACGACUAAAUAAAAUAAAACACCGACGUGGUUAGUUUAUAAGCUGUCAUUUAUUGAAAAUCAUAAAAACAAAAUCCUAAGGAGACUAACCCUGGAUUGUAAGGCAUCAUGAAAAUCUGUUCACCGUCUGUCUUCUGAAGUCGAGCUGCUACGAGUCGUGAUCUUUCAGUUAUUGUGCCAGAGUUGGCACUAACUGUAGCAGGGUCGAUAAAGCCAACCAUACUGCACAUAUUGGCUUUUUUCAAAACAUCGUGUAAGUACCUAAACAAAUAAAAUAAUAUAAACAAGUCAGCACACAAAACACGACGGUUAUGUAUAAAAAAACGACGUAUUAUAAUAUUUCACACGACGUACUGAAAUAGAUGAGGACGUUAUAAUAUAUUUAUCACGACGGUUGUUAGUUAAGACGAGGUGGUUAGUUAGUUAAGACGACGCAAUAUAUAAACCAACGAGUUAUUAUUUUAGAAGUACAAACCUCAUAUAUACAGCCAAUACAGUAGCUCCAAUUUCUUCCAUGCCUGCAAAUUGUGUAAUAUCUUCAGGCAGGAGGAAGGUAUCGCGCUCACCACCAAACACCUCCUUAUCAAUUGUAAAUUGGACUGUCUUAUCCUCAGGCAGGAGUGUCGUUUCCACAAAACGACAAAGGGUUUUUAAAGAAGAUGGCGCCUCCAUUUUUGAAUAAGCACCAACUUCAAUAACCUGUUUAAAGAAAUAAAAAAAAUGACGUGGUAAUUCAAUAAAGACGACGGUUUAAGUAAUAAAACGUCGUCUUAAAAGUAUUUAAACGACGGUGAAAAAACUGUCGUGGUAAUUCAAUAAAGACGACGGUUUUAUGAAUAAAGCGUCGUCUGAAACCAUUUAAACGACGGUGCAAAAACCGUCGUUUAAAUAUUUUAUUACGUCUUAAAAAAAUUCCGCCGUCUAAGUUUUAAACAAACGACGGAUUAAAUAAAAAUAUCGACGUCUGAAAUUUUGAAAAACAAAUAAAAAAGGCAAAGUUAUGUGAACAUACCUUGUCGUCAUGCUUUUCUUCAUCUUCUUUCUCCUUUUCUUCUUCCUUCUCUUCAUCUGGCUGAUGUUUCCCCAUUUUGGCAGUAUCAUCCUCCAAAUGUAGGGAUCUCACAUCACCUCCAGAGCAGCUAGCUUUGUCAGACAUUGAAUUUUUGGGGCUUUGGCUAAUUCUUGGUUUAAGCAUGCUUGGAUCAAAAUUGGGAAUUAAUUGGGAAAGCUGACUCAGGAAAUGCUCCCUCUCAGCCUCUACCAAUUGUUUUGUCCUAGCCUCCAUCCUUAAGGCCUCUUCCCUUGCCUUAGCCUCCAUCUUUUUAGUCUCUUCUUGAAGGAGAACUCUUAAACUGUCCUUCAAACGGUCGUCAAAGCUCACCCUCUGUGGUUUGGGCAAAUUGAAAUAUUGCCUUGGGGAAACACCAGCACCAACUCCCCUCAGUCUGCCUGGAUGCUCGGGGCCCAAAGCCAUGGUCAGCACAUCAUUGCUGCCAUUUACUCUGACUUUGCCUUCCGAGACUUGUUUCUGCAAUUCAUCCUAAAAAAAGAUAAACAAAAAAACACACGACGGUUAUUUAUGUACAAACGACGUAUUAUAUAAUUUCACACGACGCAAUAACGUAUAAACCGACGUUAUUAUAACUUAUCACGACGGUAGUUAUACCGACGUGGUUAUUUAUUUAAAACGACGAAAUGAAUAAACAACCGACGUCUUAUGCUAUAAUUAAAGAUAACAGAGUAGUGAUUCCUAUUUAGACCGUUAACGACGUUUUUAAAAAAUUUUCGACGUGGUAAUAUCAUUCACACGACGCGAAAAUGAACCACCGACGUCUUAUGCUGUAAUUACAGAAAACAUAGUAGUGAUUCCUAUUUAGACCUUUAACGACGUUUUUAAAAACUUUUCGACGUGGUAAUAUCAUUCACACGACGAAAAAUAUAACAUACGACGUAAUAAGAAUAAUUCACAGUUUAAUAAAAAUUUAAAACAGAGUGAUAGUAGGCUUACAAUUAAUUUUGCUUUCUCUGCCACCUUUGGAUCAGGGAUGUUACCAUGUUUGUCCUGUCUAGCUCUCUUCCAUAAGGUAGAUCGAUCAAUUUCUACCCCAGGCAUGGUUUCCUCCAAUUGAUCCUCCAAUCCAGCAUAUCCUUUUCGAGACAAUCGAUGAUUGUACUCGAGUUUCUCCCUAAUCUGUGCAUGUUGAGAAUGCACAGACUCAAAAUCUUUGGAUAGCCUUGAAGCUACAAAGGCAUCCCAUUGUGCUUUCUCUAUGAAUUUAUAUGUUUCAGGGGGUUGGCUUAAUUUCUCCCUGUCAUUGGUGUAUGGAAGGAUAUAAUGCCUCGUUAGUGUAGACUUGAAAUCCUUCCAUUUCUUGGAAGCAGAAGCUAAAACAGAGGUCUUGCCCCCUUGGCCUACGACAAAAGCCAUGUCAACUGCUUCCCAAAUCUGCUCCUUUAUAUCCUUGGGGAUUUGGGACCAUUUCUUGUCCACAAGUGGGAUCCUGGAGCGUGCCAACACACCAAUAUACGACUGCAUCUCAAUAUGUGCUUGGCCAACACCUUUCCCCCUUUUAUUGUACUCAACAAUUGGCCUCAGUUUCUGAAGCUUUCUCUUCACAACACGAGGCAUUGUGCUCAUACCUCGACCAGUCUUUGAAUCAUCUGAGAUUGUUGUCUGGCUGGUUUGUUCUGUCUCAGCAGAUGAUGAAGCAAACUUCAUCUUCUUCGAAGACUUCAUCUCCUUCGAAGACUUAUCUUGAGGAGCUACCAUUCCAAGCUUCUUGGAGCCAGAAUCCUUAGUUUGUUGUUGAGAAACCAUUUUAACAGACAAAACUGCAAGUGAAAAUAUUUCAGGAAAACAUUAAGAACACAAACGACGGUAUUAAAAAAAUACGACGUAUGAUAUGAUUUUAGACGACGCAAUGAAAUAAUCUCAGACGUAAUAAAUGUUUAAAACCAUUAUUUAUAUAACGUCGUGGUAUAUAUGUUCACACGACGUCAAUAGUAAUACACCGUCGUGGUAAACUAUUAUUUAUAUAACGUCGUGGUAUUUAUGUUCAUACGACGUCAAUAGUAAUACACCGUCGUGGUAUUAACAUUCACACGACGUAAAACAAUAAGAUAUUUUGUCGUCUAUAUUAGAUACCAACCCUAGUUUCUUUUUCUUUAUAUUUUAUCAAAUAAGGGAAAAACAAAAACCAUUGUUCAGCGAAAUCAAACCUGCAAUUAAACAAGCAUAUAAAAAAAGACUAUUAUUUUAAAAACAACUUUGUCAAUUUUCAGACGACGCUAGAACAACUGACGAACCGUCGUGGUCUACCGUCGUCUUAUUUAGUUGAUGUAGUUGUCUUCAAAGUUGGAAACUUUCUCUCUUUGUCUGUAUAUUUUAUCAAACUUGGAAAGAAGUAAAAUGAUUUUGGCCAGAAAAAAGGUAAAAAGAUUUUUCAAACAAAAAACGUAUGAGCAUGCAAAACAGUAACCAAAAUAGUGAAAAUGAAAGCUUACCUUUUGCGUGCAAUGAAAGCAAGAGGAAGAUGAUCGAUGUUUAAGUUCAGAGACGACGAAGAAGACGAUGAGAAACUCUGACAAUGCUCUGACAAGGAAAAAAGACGAAAAGGUUUCUCUGGGAGAUUGAAAUUUUUAAUCGGGUUUGGAAACAGUGCAUGUGUAAGUCGAAAAGUUGCUUACAUAUAAAACCAUUUCAAAAAAAUAAUACGGCGGUUACAUUUAACUACGUCGUUUUUAACUAAAACGACGCAAUAUUUUUCAUUCGACGUGGAAUCAUUUCAUUUAACGUCGUUAGGUUUAAUAUAACCGACGUGGAUUUUAAUUUUUAAAUUAUGAAUAGAAUUUUUUUUCCCGUGACCUUUCAGUUUAUUUUUCAAUUACAGUGCGUUAUAAAUAGAGUUUUUUUUCCGGAGGAAAUUUAAAACGAAGGAAAUUAAUAUUCUGCAAUAUGUAAAGUUUCUUUUUUGGAUGACAGAUUUAAAUAAAAUAAGAAUAUAAAAACAACAAAUGUGUAAGUCAAGUAGACGAAAAGUUGCUUACAUAUAAAACCAUUUCAAAAAAAUAAUAUGGCGGUUACAUAUAACUACGACGAAAAGUUGCUUACAUAGUUGAUGUAGUUGUCUUCAAAGUUGGAAACUUUCUCUCUUUGUCUGUAUAUUUUAUCAAACUUGGAAAGAAGUAAAAUGAUUUUGGCCAGAAAAAAGGUAAAAAGAUUUUUCAAACAAAAAACGUAUGAGCAUGCAAAACAGUAACCAAAAUAGUGAAAAUGAAAGCUUACCUUUUGCGUGCAAUGAAAGCAAGAGGAAGAUGAUCGAUGUUUAAGUUCAGAGACGACGAAGAAGACGAGAGGAAGACGAUGAGAAACUCUGACAAUGCUCUGACAAGGAAAAAAGACGAAAAGGUUUCUCUGGGAGAUUGAAAUUUUUAAUCGGGUUUGGAAACAGUGCAUGUGUAAGUCGAAAAGUUGCUUACAUAUAAAACCAUUUCAAAAAAAUAAUACGGCGGUUACAUUUAACUACGUCGUUUUUAACUAAAACGACGCAAUAUUUUUCAUUCGACGUGGAAUCAUUUCAUUUAACGUCGUUAGGUUUAAUAUAACCGACGUGGAUUUUAAUUUUUAAAUUAUGAAUAGAAUUUUUUUUCCCGUGACCUUUCAGUUUAUUUUUCAAUUACAGUGCGUUAUAAAUAGAGUUUUUUUUCCGGAGGAAAUUUAAAACGAAGGAAAUUAAUAUUCUGCAAUAUGUAAAGUUUCUUUUUUGGAUGACAGAUUUAAAUAAAAUAAGAAUAUAAAAACAACAAAUGUGUAAGUCAAGUAGACGAAAAGUUGCUUACAUAUAAAACCAUUUCAAAAAAAUAAUAUGGCGGUUACAUAUAACUACGACGUAUAAAUUACAAAAUACGACGGUACAUUUAACUUCGGACGUGGUAAAUAAAUACGACAGUAGUUUGUAGGUACCGUCGUAGUAAACUCAAAAAUUAAAGUACAUAAGUAAUAACUCGCGUCAUGGUAUAUUAUUUAACACGUCGUUAUUAUUAAUUUACCGACGUGGAUUUCUGUAAUAUACGUCGAUCAUACCGACGUUGAUUUUACAAUUUAAACGGCGGUUUUUUUGUAAGGACCGCCGUUGGUUUUAAAAAUUUAUUCUAUAAAUUUGUCGCUUUCAUUCAUUUUCGGUUUACAUUUAAGGUUCCAAGUUCUUCCUCUCUCAGUCUCUCAUGUCUCAAAGAUAAUAAUUUGGAUGUUUUCUCAAAGAGAAAUUGAGCUUACUCGCAUCAAAUAUAUGUCCACAAGAAGAAGCUUGUCAACUAGCCUUCUCACUUCCUUGAUCAAGCCUGAUAGGACACUUAGUGCUUCUGAAUACUCCUUGCUUUCCAUCAAAAGAGAUGCAAGCCUGGCCUCCACUCGCUGUCGAAGGAAAGUUCGCUUCUCAGGGAAAUCUGAAGAUCAGAUGUGCCUGAUCCUCUGCUUGAUUUUCUUGCCUAAGAAGAUCCGUCGGAUUUAUUGUGAUAGCCUCUUCCUUUAUCCGUAGAGCUUCAGAAGAAGAAGAUGGGUUUCAAGAAUGCGAUAAAGAAUAGAAAUGGCUUCAGAUGGCCUCUAAAGCAUGAGCAAUUGAAUCAGUAGUUUCUGGGAGAUAUGAUGAAGACAUUGUCAAUGCUUUGAACUACACAAGUCCUGCAGAAAGAUAUGUUAAAGAAACUGAAACAACGGCGGUUUUCUGUUCUACCGUCGUCUUUUCUCGUCGUCUAUAUUAAGUUACGAUGGCGGUAGAUUUAUAAUUACCGACGUAGAUUAUUUUGUUAAACGUCGUUAAGUGUACUACAACCGACGUGGAUUUUAAUUUUAAAUUAUAAAUGGAGUUUUUUUUCCCGUAUUCUUUCAGUUUUAGUUUUCAAUUCCAAAGCGUGAUAAAUAGAUUUUUCUUUCCCGAGGAAAUUUAAAAUGAGGGAAAUUAAUGUUCUAGAAUUUGUAAACUAACACGACGCAAUAUUUGCAAAUCUGUGUCAUCUGUUAAGAUUAUGAUGUGGAACAGAGUUCCAUCUGGUAAGAUUUCGUAACCCUUGGGAUCUCAGACAAAACUGAUUAUGUCGGCGGUGUUCUAUAUAAACCGUCGUGGUUAUUUCAAUUCUUGUCAUUAAGUAGAUCUACCGACGUAGGAUAAGAAAAUCAAAGAAAAAAAUUGUUAACAAAAAUUCUUAUUAAGACGACCGUUAAAAUUAAAGGUACGACGUAUAAAAUGAAUAAAUACGACGAUAAAUUUUAUUGUACGAUUUAAAGAUAACGUAGUAGAACUAUACGAGAAUGACGUCGAUAUAUUUAUAUUUUCCGUCGUUGUAAAUUAAUUUAAUACGGCGAUAUUUUGUAUUUUAAAGCCGUGGAUUUGUUUGUAAUUAUACGGCGUCUUAUACUAAAACCUCGUCGUCUUAUUUUAUGAGUAAAAACGGCAGUUUUUAUUGAAAUCGUCGUCUUUACUUUCUACGUCGGUCGAUUCAUAACUUCUGCCGUUCUUUGUUGGCAUUGAUUUUACACUGCGGAAAUCUGUUUCAAAUAGACGUCGGUUGUUUAAUUAUGUACGUCGUUGUUUUUGAACAGCCAUUUGAAACUCCAUUUUUUAGUUGUCUAAGGUUGUAUUACACGACGGUGUUUUUAGAACCGUCGUCUUUUUAUAAACCACGACGGUUUUCACUUAGACCGUCGUUGUUUUCUGGUCGUCUUUUUCACUUUUUGUAGUAGUGUCGGCAGGUAAUUGCACCAGAUCAUGGCAAUAAUCUAUGUGCAUUUCGGCUAGAUUUGGCAAUGCAUCUAGAAUUUGGAUGGAACCUUUACCAAAAGCUUGACUGAUGCUACACAUGAAUAAAGAUAUCUUCUGUACACUCAGCUGUUUGAGGUUCUUGCUUAUGGAAGGAAUUGAAAUGCAUUCCAAUCUAAUUCUCUUCUGAUGUAGAACACAUGGCCAAGUUGAUCGAGGAACAGUUGGACAGGCGCACAUAUUGUCGCGGUAGCAAAGCCCAAUUUGUGCAAGUAUGGGCCCCGAGCUCAAAAUUGGGCCCAUGACCUAUCGUUUCAUAGAGAAAGGCAGGACAAGUGGAACCCAUAGUUUUGCUGUGACGUGUGAGCUAUUUUAGACAAAUUCCAUUGUUUACUUUGACUUUUCCGCGUUUAAAGUUUUUUGGAUAUUUUGGGAAACUUUUAUUAUUUUCCUUUUAGUUUUCUAAUUAGCUUUCCUAGCAAGUCUAGGGUUUCUCAUUAGUUUUCCAAGCAAGUCCUAGGGUUUCUCUUGUAUAUAAAAGGAAUGCAUUGGAGCAUCCUAAAUUAUCUAUCUUAUUAUCAAUCAAAUACCUUGAGUUUUACUCAAUUUUCUAGUGGAUUCUAGUUUGUUGGUGGAUUCUGACGUUGUUAUUUUAGGAUUAUCGUUCCAUCUCCCUAUUCCCCUCUAUCUCACUGCGUCAGUUGGUAUCAGAGCAGGUUCUUGCCUGACUCGAAGUGCCUCCAAUGGCUAGUCCGGACGGAGAAGAUAGGACCCGUGGAGACAAAAAUUAAGACAAACUGAUGGUGGUAAAUCCAAAUCCUCUCAUUCACUUUGUUUUUACAAUGCAAAAUGAAAACCAAAAAACUUAAAAGAGAAGAAAGGUAGGAAAAAGAAAUAUUGAAACACAAAUCACACAGACAUUGCACCAACAUUUGUUAAGGACAGUGAGCUCUCAAGGCUUGUAGUAGAGCCAAUUAAGGUUGUGUUGUUCUUUUGCCACUGUUAUGUUUAUGUUUAUGAGACUGGAUUUGAAAGGCUCCCCCCAUAAGUUUUCUGUCUCUUCAUCACAUAUCACUUCCCGUAACUCCUUAAGUUUCAAAACUGAUUGAGGCAACUCUUGCAGUCUUGAGCAUUGUCCCAUGUUGAUCUUUCUUAAACCACUCAUUUCACCAAUCUCUUCAGGCAACUUCUUAAUGCUCAAACAAUUAAAUAUGUCAAGAAAGCUUAACUUUUUUAGGUUCUUAAUCGAGCCUGGAAGCCUUUCCAACUCUGUGGAGGACCUUAACCUUAAUACCUCCAAAUUGACCAGCUUUCCAAUCUCUUCAGGCAAGGCAGAUAGCUUAUGACAAUUGGUGAUACUGAGCUUCUUUAGGUGGAAAAGUUCACAGAGCUUGGCAGGCAAUUCCACCAAAUCAUUGCAAUAGUCAAUGUUCAAUUCCACCAGAUUUGGAAAUGCCUCUAAAAUUUGGCUGGGACAGUUGCUAAAAGCUUGACCGAUGCUGCACAUGAAUAAAGAUAUGUUCUGCAGACACUUCAACUGCAUGGCGCUCUUGCUUAUGGAAGGAAUUGAAAUGCGCUCUAAUCGUAUUCUCUUUAGAGCAGGUAAAAAACCCAAGAGCUUGAAAUUACUUAAGUCAGCUUGUAAGAAACCAUAAUUUGUGACUAUUAGAACCUUCAACUUGGACAUCCUCUUCACGAACUUGGGUAAAACAUAGUUCGCUGUCUGAAAAUUCAGAACUAGAACCUCUGCCUUUGGUAGAUGCAUGUUGUGCCAUUUUGGUGAGUGCAAUCCAUCUGCAAGCCAUACGCUAUAUGAUGUGAGUGAUGGGAGAAAUUAAUGUGGAAGUACUAAACAAGCCCCUGUGUUAGUGUAUGUGUGUGUGUUGAUGUAUUUUGUAAAGAAAGGGAGAUAUGCCAACCAGUUGAAAUAGAUACUAAUCGAGCCUUCUUCGUUUUAUGCUUAUUCUCUUUCCACCACGUUGGAAGCUUGUCUCCACGUAUGUCUAUGAUCAGUCUCUGUCCGAUCGGGUCUUGAUGACUCUCAUGGAUUGAUAGCGAUCUAAGCAUACCAUGUUGGAUAGCAAAAUGUUCACUAUAGUAGCCAUCCGCAUCUUCAUUCCUGGUCAUGAUCAAAAUUUUAGUUUCUUAGAAUAAACUUUGAAACAUGCAUAUUUGCAAUAGAAGCUUGCAUACCUUGUGACUACAAGAGUGGCCAGAUUGCGAGUGGUGAGCUCGUAGAGGUUUGCAAUGGACAUAAAAUCUUCAGCUCCCUCAUAUGACUCUGCCCACAUAUCAAGGAGGGCAGUAACAGGGAUUAUUUGGUCUUGAGGAAAUACACCAAGGUCUAUGAAACAAUCCUUGACGGUAGUCAUUCCUUUAUCCAAGUCAUCCAAGCAACUUUUGAGGUAAACAAGCAACUUUCGGUCUGACUCAAGAAUAGAAGAACCUUUAGACAAUUCCAGUAGUCUUUUUCUCCAGAUCUCUAUAGGUCGAUUGCAAAGUGAGUCCCCGAUUGCUGUAAUGGCAAGUGGAAAUCUCUUACACAACUCUACGAUCUGCAGUACAUGUGUCCCAAAUGAAGUCAGUUACCAUUUGAGUUGCAGACCGAAAUUUCAACUUUCUCUAAAUCAUAUCAAUAGUUUCAUGAGAGAAAUUUCAAAUCUCUCUUCAAAAUCAUAACAAUGGUUUCAUGAAGAAGAGAAAUUUAAACUUUUCUUCAUUCUCAUUUUAGAUGUAGCAACAAAAUAAAGUAAGCACUCUACUUGCAUGCCUAUUUGCAGAUACGGUAAAACCGAUGUGUUCACUUUUGUGCAACAAAAGUAAACAUAAUUCCUUUUCCCCUUUUGUGAUGCAUAAUUAAACAUUCAUGUUUGAAAUUCAGACUAACAACUCACCUGAUUCUGAAUAUCAUCUGGUAUGUUAGAGCUCGUAUUUGGUAGGAAUGCUGAACGACGAAAAAGAUCCAUUGCAUCUUCAUCUUUCAAUGUUUUUAGAGGAUUUGGACGACCAAAUUUUGGAAAUUGAUAUCUUGAUGUCACCAAAACCUUGUAACUUGGCAUUUUGAAUUCAUUAAACUUGUCAAGUAGGGAUUCUGAUCCAGAUUGAACAUCAUCCAAGACCAAUAGUAAAGGAUUUUGUCCUCUUUCCGUCACAAACUUUUGCAGCCAUUUAAAUGCAAUUUCUUCAUUUGGUAAAGCAGGUGCCUGCAUUCCCGUAUGUUCCCAUAGUUCUUGAACAAUAAGGUGGCUGAGCUUAUUUGAAACAGUGGCAAAGAAGAUAUUUUCCUUGAACUUAUCUAGCCAAGUACACAUAAUUAAGAAAACUGUCACCAAGACGUCAUAUAAAUUUAUCUAUGCUUGUACAAACAAGGAAAUGAUUUCUAUAAUUUUUUUCUUUAAUCUCACUAAUGAAAAUAAAAUGACGUUAAAUUUCAGGGUACCUUUGACUUCUUGAUCAUGACAAAACAUUGUUGCCAAAGUGGUUUUCCCGCAUCCUCCAGGAGCCGUGAGCACAAAUAUUGACACCGGUCCAUCCUUAAGAAGCUUCAUCUUCAGAUCAUCCAAAGGCUCCUUCAAGCCAACAGUAACCAGUGGAAGCGGAGGUACUGCACACCGAACUCCAAAUUGAUUUUGAUUUUGUGCCACAACAUUUCCAUCAAUUCGGUUGAGCAGCAUAACUUGAUGGCUUACUAACUGCACUGUCAGUAUACUUAAGAGUCUUUGAAGAGAGCCAUCCAAUGCCAGAAUUUUGUCUUUGUAUUCACGCUGUUUGAUGCAGUUCCACAUUCCCACAUCACAGCAUUCUUCAACCAGCUUCUUGCCCUCCUCCAUUUUUGUUGUAAAAUUUUCUAGGCACUCUAGGGAAACAAAAUGGUUGGCAGAUUGUGCUAUCUGUCUAAUCAGUGGUUGUAAAGAGUCUAGCGUGAUAUUGAGAUUUCUGAGGUGUGUUUGAAACAUCUUAGCCGUGGGCUUCGCUUUUAGAACUGCAGAAAACAGAAUUUCAAAUGCUGCUCCUAGAGCAGACCCUACAACUAAAGUAACCGGAUCCAUAAUAACAACAACAACUCAGAUCUGAAAGUUUGUAUUUGUUUCAAUCUGAACUUGUAAGACAAUAGGCAGAUUACAAAUGAGGAACAAGUGAGAGACUCUUAGGACAGGCUUGGAAGCAAGAAAUGCAAAAGGAGUCAAUAUGCUUUUCUCACUUGUCAAUGGCAAAAGAAUAUGUUGUUUGCAAGACUCUCUGGGUCAAGGCCUCCUCCCAUAUAAUGUUAGACCACAUUUAGUAAUUUGCUAGGAAAUUGUAAGUGUUCUUUUUAGGAAACUUUAGUAACAAUUCCACACCAAAAGUAGUGGGGCCAUUGACGACCACAUAAGAGCAGACACGUUUGUAAUAAAGCCCACAAUUGAACGUUUAGUUCAUACACUAAAGAAAUAGCUCAACUAUUUACAAAAUAAAAAAUAAAAAUCUCAAGAUGGAAGCUUGUGGAGCCAAUUUAGGUUGAUAUCUUCUUUGACCGCCUUUAUGUGUACGUUUUUGAGAAGGGGUAAGAAGGGUUGCCAUAAAAGUUCUGUCUCCUCAUCACAUGUCACAUUCUUCAACUGCUCAAGGUCCAAAACUGAUGCAGGCAGAUCUCGCAAUCUUGAGCAUUGUCUCAUGUUGAGCUUUUUUAAACUGCACAUCUCACCAAUGUGUUCAGGCAACUCCUUAAUGCUCAAGCAAUAGGAUAUGUCGAGAAAGUUUAACUUUUUAAGGUUCCUAAUCGAGCCUGGCAACUCUAACAAGUCUAUACAUGACCUGAGCCUCAACACUUCCAAACUGACUAGCUUUCCAAUCUUUUCAGGCAAGGCGGAUAAGUUAUGACAGUUGGUGAUGCUAAGCUUCUUAAGGCGAAUAAGAUCACAAAGCUCUGAGGGCAAUUCCACCAGAUCAUGGCAAUAAUCUAUGUGCAUUUCAGCUAGAUUUGGCAAUGCAUCUAGAAUUUGGAUGGAACCUUUACCAAAAGCUUGACCGAUGCUACACAUGAAUAAAGAUAUCUUCUGUACACUUUUCAACUGUUUGAGGUUCUUGCUUAUGGAAGGAAUUGAAAUGCGUUCCAAUCUAAUGCUCUUCAGAUUUGAUGAGGAACCAAGUAAUUGAAAAUUAUUUAACUCAGAAGGUAAGAAACCGUAAUUUGUGACUAUUAGAACCUUUAAAUUAUCCAUUUUCUUCACAAAUUCGGGUAAGGCGUAGCUGUUUGUUUCAAAAUUUAGAACUAGAACCUCUGCUUUUGGUAGUUGCAUGUUUGGCCAUUUUUUUGAGAAGGCUCCAUCUGCAAACAAUAUAAUAUAAGAUGUGAGUGUGGGAAAUGCGCCAAAGUAUUAUUCAAGUUGUAGUGCGUAGUACGUGUGUGCGUCUGUGUACAUGUGUGUGUAUUUACUAAAGAGAGAAAGAUGGGACAACCAGUUGAGAUUGAUAAUAUUCGAGCCUGGAGGGGCUGAUGCUUUUGCUCUGCCAACCACAUUGGAAGAUUGUCUCCACAUGUCUUUAUAAUUAGUCUUUUUCUCUGUUCUAUUGGGUCUUGACUCGCUUGAUGAAUAGCCAACUCCCUAAGCAUAUCAUGUUGGGUAACAAAGUAUUCAGUGUAAUAGCCAUCCGGCUCUCUCUCAUUCCUGGACGUUCAAUAAUAAUUGCUCAUAAGAGAUUUCUUCAAUAUAAAUAUUGGAACAGAAAAUUAUGAGCAGCAGCGAGUCGUGAGUAUAAAGGAAAAAGUGGAGUGAUAGUAGCAGACAAGAGGAACAAGGAAGCCUACAUACCUUGUGGCUACAAGAUUAGCUAAACUCUGCGUGGUUAGUUCGUAGAGAUUCGCGAUGGACAGACUGGGUUCAUCUAGGCCAUAUAACUCUGCCCACAUAUCUACGAGGUUGGCAGCAGAGAUCCUUUGGUCUCUAGGAAAUGAGCACAGGUCAAGGAAACAUUCCUUGAGGAUAGAUUUUUCUGUAUCCAAGGCAUCUAAGCUGCUUUGGAGGCAAGCAAGCAAAUCACUGUUAGAUGCAAGUAUAGAAGAACCUUUAGACCAUUCCAGUACUUUUUUUUGCCAAAUCUCUAUAGGCUGGCAGCGAAGUGAUCUUCCAACCUCCGCAAUGGCAAGUGGAAAUCCCUUACAGAGCUCUACUAUCUGCAGUCAAUUUUCCCAAAUGAAGUCGAUCAUUAUUUGAGUUGCAGGCCCAAAACAAGUGUGUCUAAAUUGGUUUCAUAAAGAUGACAAAAUGGUUUAAGUAAUUUUCUACUUCAAAUGAACGUAUAAUCUUUUGCAGGUUGAUAUGGUAAAUGGAAGUGUUCACUAUUCACUCAUGUAUAUGUGGUUGUUUUACAAAUACACAUACACACACAUAUAUAUAGGAAUUCUCAGAGCCGGACGUCCAUCCUUUCAACAAAAGGUGAAUUUUGUAUCUAAAAGACGGACGUUUUGUAGAGAGAAAAACCCCUAUAUGUAAUUAUACGAAAAGCAAACAUAUAAUCUCUUGACCUUCGUCUGUGACACAUAAUUAUAAGCAUAUAUGUUGUGCUUUGCGGAUAAAGAAAUCACCUUUCUUGUAAGGUCUUCCCGAGCAUAAGAGGUCUUAUCAUCCAAGGAUGCUGAAUGACGAAAAAGAGCCAUUGCGUCUUCAUCAUUCAAUGAUUCCAAAUGAUAUGGAGAGCCAAAUCUUGGAAAUGCAAAUCUUGACGUGACCAAAACUUUGUAAUUUGACAUUUUGAAUUGAUCAAACUUCUCAAGAAGGGACUCUGAUCCUGACCAAACAUCAUCCAGGACAAUCAGUAAAGGACUUUGUCCUGUUUCCUUCAGAAAAAGUUGCAACCAGUUAACCGCAAUUACUUCGUUUUGGAAAGCAGGCACCUGGGAACCCUUCCGUUGAUAUAGUUCAUGUACAAUAAGGUCCAAGUUGGGCUUCUUGGAAAGAGUGACAAAGAAGAUAUUGUCCUUGAAUUUAUCUAUAUCCAAAUAAGAUAUAAGAAAGGUGUCACUAGAAGCUCAUUUAAAUAUGUCUCUAAUUGUGUAAAUAUGAGCAAUAUGCUCUCUACACGGCUGAUAUUUUCAUCCUUCCAUAUCACUAUUACUAGACAAAAAAAGGAGUUUAAAAAAAAAGUAGGUUGAGAUACCUUUUACUUCCUGAUCUUGACAAAACUUUUUUGCCAACGUGGUUUUCCCACAUCCGCCAGCAGCAGUCAGCACAAGCAUGGACACAUCAUCCUGAAGAAGCUUUAUCUUCAAUUCCUUCACUGGCACAUCCAACCCGACUGUAACCGGUGGAGGUUCAGGCACAGCAGGCCAACCAUUGAUUUUUUCAGACUGAUUUUGCAUCACAAAGUUCCCUUCGAUACGAUGCAGCACCGUCUCUAUAUUCCUUAACGAAACCAAGGUCUCCCUGACAUCCCUUAUGCCCUGCACUUUCAACACAUCCACUAGUCUUUGAAUGCAUCUAUCCAAUUCAUCAAGUUUUUUAGUGUAUCUGUAUUUCCUGCAGCACCUCCACACACCAACCUUGCUGCACUUGCGAACAAGAUUUACCCCCGCCUCCAUUUGCAUUGUAUAAUUUUCUAGCCCCUCCUUUGAGUUAUAUUUUUCUAUCUCUUCGAUCAUUGGCUGUAAGGAGUCUAGUGUGGAUUUGAUAUUUCCAAGAUGAGGCUUAAACACGGUAGUUUCCGCCUUCACUGCUAUAACCGCAUCAAGCAGCAUUUGAAAUGCUGCUCUUAGAGCACCCACGCAUACUGCCAAUGCCAUAAGAAUAAAGCAAUAUCCAAUGCAAAAAUCAGACAACUUCUAUUUGUUAUCAAUCCAAAGCCUAAGAUAAGAGGAAGAAGAAAAAAAGCAAAAGUUGACGUAACUUGGGAUCAAAGAAAUCAAUAACUUAACAUUGGCGCAAGAACCCAAUCUUGUCGUACUUGUUGUUAGUGAUGCCGAUGGCGCAAGAAAGAAAUCCGAUAAACUGUUUCCGGAGAAGAAAAUAAAUAAGUUAUGUUGUUUGCAAUUCUUGGUUGCAGUGCCAAUGUUAAUUAGGUAUAAAUAAGUUGGACGACUCUUGACCAACAUUUGACCAACCCUUGACCCAGCCAAUCACGAUACGGACGCUAUUGAAUUCAAUUUGCCCAGCAAAUACCACGGGCCGUCUCCAAACUCGCAAAGACCAUUCAAUUUGCGCUUUCUUUUUUUAUUCAAGAAAUCUUUAUAAAAAGAUGAUAUUUCUUUAAAAACAAAAAAGGUGUAACUCUGCGUCACGCGGUGGAGUAAAGGAUAAAGUUACCAACUUUAACUCUUCUUAUAAAGCAAACGUACACGCGGGGGAGAACAUACUUUUGUCUUUCGAAGAAAUGAUAAAGAAAAAGCAUCAAAGAAGAACUAAUAAUUCAGGAAAUUUCUAUUAUUUUUUAAAUAGCUAGGUUUAAUAGCUAGGUUUAAUGAGUACUCGGACAUAACUAGUCUUUAAUCUAAUAAUAGUUAUUUUUAUUUAGCUAAAUGUUUAAAGACCGACUCAUAUGAAUGCAACACUUGGACUUUCUCGUAAGUGGAUUAUCUUGUUUACGUGUAUCAUAUAUCCAACCAAAGAAUUUCAUGUGAAAUUGCUCCAACUUUUGCUGUUGUAAUUGAGCUAAUAAUUACGUGCAGGGAGGACACAAUAUAGUUUCCUUUCGUUUUCUUAGAAUAGGCACAAAAACAUAAAAUUAGAUUAACACAUUUCUUAUGCAUUACGGCCUUGUUUGGUAAACCUCAUUGGACUAGACUACCUUAAAUAACCCCCACAACCCAUGUUUGGUGAAGCACUUCUUUAAGUUAAAUGAGACUAGAGAGUCUGGGCCUGCGCUCCAUUGUGCUUUGCUUUUCUCUUCUUGUACUCUGCGCUCUCACUCACUCAGGUUAGUUGUUCAACUCUCUUCCUUUCUUUCCACUCUUCUUCUCUAUCUCUCUCUUUAGUAUGCUAUUUCUUGGUUUGAUUUUAAAGUUUUGAUUAUGUGUUUGUUUGUAGUUAACUUAAUCUGAUAAGAGUUAUGCUUUUUAUUGGUUAAUUUUGGAUGGAUUAUAAUUGGGUUUUUUUUAGGGUUUUUAAUUUUGAAUUGUUUUGAUAAUGAAGUUUUUGUUUGGAAUGAGAAAAUAUCAACAAAUUGAUGGGUAGAAUGAUAGACGUUUGAAUUAAGGUUGAACUAAUAGCUGGAAGUAGAACACAGAGCUACAAAGUUCUAAGUAGGGUUCUUGCUUGCUACCUAUAGAAGUUAUGUUGUUUGGGAUUCUCUGUUGCUGUGCAGGAUAUAAAACUAACCCAGCAAAUACCAGGAGCCGUCAACGAAAGUUGCAAAAAAGACUUUUUUUAUUAUUUCAAUAGUAUCAAAUUAUGUGGAUGCUAUGAGCUUUUGGUUGGUGAAGUGAAUAAGCCAUAUGCUCUUUAUUUUUAUUUAUUCAAGAUGUGUUAUAAAACUAGAGGGAGAAAAUGUAGAGAGAAGUGAUAUGCUAAAGACAAAGUUUCACCAUGUUUAUUCUUCUCUAAAUCUUUGGUAGAACCACCUAUUUAUAGGCUUACAAGAUAGGAGAUUGAAUACCAUCAUUUACAAUAUACCUAUAGGUUACAAGCACUAAUUACAAAUACUUAGUGCAUAGGUUACAUAAAAUCCAACGGUGGAAUAUUAAGAGGUAUGGUGGUCAUCCACCAACUCAUGCAUUUACAACAAGAUGCUAUUUCUUUAAAACCAAAAAAGGGUAAGUUAUUCCUCGUUUUGGUAAAACUCAUGCAUCAAACAGUAAAACGUAUAAAAUCCUUAAGAAGAAAAACGUACAUGCGGUGGAGUAAAUGAUAAAGUAAGUAACCAACAACUUUUCUUUUGUUAAAUGUGACAACAAACCUUUGUCUUUCGAAGAAAUUAUAAAGAAAAAGCAAAAGGUUGAACUAAUAAUUCAGGAAAUUUCUUUUAUUUCUUAAAUAGCUAGCGCAACGAGCACUCUUACAUAAGUAGUCUUUAAUUUAAUGAUAUCUUUGUUUAGCUAGACAUUCAAAGACCAAUUCAUAGGAAUGCAACAUUCGGACUUCAUGGUGGGUGGAAUAUCUUGUUUACCAGUAUAAUACAUCCAACUAAAGAAUUUCAUGUGAAAUUGCACCAACUUUACUAUUAUGAUUGAGCUAAGAACUAUGUGCAGAGAGGACACGAUAUAGUGUCCUAUUGUUUCCCUUAAUCUAAUAAUAUUUAGCUAGACGUUUAAAGACUGACUCAUAUGAAUGUAACCUUCAAACUUUGUUUUUAGUGGAUUAUUUUGUUUGCGUGAAUCAUAUGUCGAACAAAGAAUUUCAUGUAUAAUUGCUCUCCAACUUUACUAUUGUGAUUGAGCUAAGAAUUAUGUGUAGAGAGGACACGAUAUAGUGUCCUAUUGUUUCCCUUAAUCUAAUAAUAUUUAGCUAGACGUUCAAAGACUGACUCAUAUGAAUGCGACCUUCAAACUUUGUCGUGGGUGGAUUAUCUUGUUUACGUGUAUCAUAUGUCGAACAAAGAAUUCAUGUGAAUUGCUCCAACUUUAUUAUUGUGAUUUAGCUAAGAAUUACGUGUCGGGAGGACACAAUAUAGUUUCCUAAUUUUGUUUUCUUUAAUCUAAUAAUAGUUUUCUUUAUUAGCUAGACGUUCAAAGACCAACUCAUAUGAAUGCAACAGUCAAACUUUGUUGUGUGUGGAUUAUCUUGUUUGCAUGUAUCAUACGUCGAACGAAGAACUUCAUGCGAAAUUGCUUUGACUUUAUUACAGAGAUAAAUGUUUUCAAAGGCAUGUGUAGGUGUGUGUUGGAGCUAGGCGAGAGCAAAUUGCCUCAGUAUUUAUAAUAAAUAAAGUUUUCCGUGAGUUCAGGUAUGCCCAUGAAAAAUUUAGAGCAUCUCCAAAGUAGAUGUCAAAUAUCAAACAUCAAAUUUAAAUUUGAUGGCUGAUGUGGCAAUUUGACAUUUACAUAGUUUUACACUCCACCCGAUAUGUCAAAUAAAUAAUUAUUGUAAGAGUCAAAUCAUUUAAAAUCAAAAAAAAUUAAAAAAGAAAAAUAAUAAAUGAAAGUAACAACUAGCUAUCUUUUAAAAAUAAUAAAAUAUUCAUUUGACAUCUUGCUUUGGGAUGUCAAAAAUAACAUCUCAACCUUCAGCCUUCAUUCCACAUCAGUUUUGACACAUCGGUUGGAGUGAUGUGAGAUGUUAUUUCUAGCCAUUAAAUGUCUAUGUGGCAGAUGCUCUUAUAAGGUUGAGUCUUAAUUUAAAACGACCCCUAAAAGUUAGGUACUUUUAUGUAGUUAACCCUUAAGUUUUAUAUUAUUUAAUUAUUUUUUAUAUUUUGAUUAGAAAAUAAACUAUUUUUUUAAUUAAAUUUUCAGUACACGCGGAGGUCAUUUUUGCAACAUCAACUUAAAAAGUGGGACCAAUUUUUACCACAUCGGCAGUUAACAGAAUUCUUAAUGGUCUUGUUAACGGAGGGGCUUGGAUGUAGGAUUUCUGUGAGUUUGGGUAUGAGUUUGCAGGGUCUUCAAAACUUGGGUGCCAACGUGAAAUAACCCCCAAAGUGCAAGGGGUUUUAUGUAGUUGAUCCUUUUAAUUAAGAAGUUUGAUAGAAAAAGCCGUUUGUACAACAACUCUAAUCAUAGCUCUGAUUGUAAUCCUUGUUUAAUCUCUUAUUGAAUUUAGCUACUUUGCUUCUGCUUACCCUCAACAAUGUCUUGAACUAUGGAGCAAGAUACAAUAUUGUCUUGAGGCAAUUCCUCAAUGCUCAAACAUUUAUAUAUGUCAAGAAAGAUUAAUUUUUUUAGAACCUGCAACUUGGUAAUACAUGAAUAACGAAACCUUGGGCGGACUCUUCAAUUACAUGGAGUUGUUUCUUAUGGAUGGAACUGAAAUCCGCUCUAAUAUUAUUCUCUUUAGAUUAGGUAAAGAACUCAUUAGCUUGAAUUUACUUAAGUCAGCUUGUAAGAAACCAUAAUUUGUGACUAUUUAGAACCUUCAACGUGGACAUUUCUUCACCAACUUUGGUAAUACGUAGUUCUCUGUCUGAAAAGUCAGAACUAGAACCUUAGCUUUUGGUAGAUGCUUGUUGUGCCACUUUGCUGAGGACGAUCCAACUGCAAACCAUAUGCUAUAUGGUGUGUGAAUGUGGAGAGAAAUUGAUGUGAAAGAACUAUUCAACCCUUAUGUCUCGUAUGGUAUUUAGGACUAGGAUUGGAUUGAAUUGGAUAACUCGCUAAAUUUAAAGCAAGUUGAAAGAAGAAUGGAAGAAAACAACAUAGCCCAAAAAGAAAAUUAAGAAAAUAGGUCCGAAUUGUAUUACAAGUGCUUAAAUCGGUCCUAUAGGUCCAAAAAAAUACAAGGCUUAUCUUAGGUCCAGCAACAUUUUUAUUUCCCAUGAGGUCCAUUUUAACUAUUAAAAUGCCAAAUAAAUUGCAAUGAUGCCACAGUUCAUUAUUUGUAUUUGUAACAAGAACGAAGGAGGCAGAGAGCUUUCCAUGAGCUGCUAUGUUACAGCUUCUUAAUUGAUUGAAUGGUAAAAGUUUGAAGCUAUUUCCUAUUUCAACACAAAAGAGACUCUAGCCAAAGUAAAGUAAAGAAAAACCAAACCAGAGAGCAAAAUGAUUUCAAAUAAGCGUAUUUGAACAAUAACUUAUCAGGUCUAUUCUGCAUUUUAUUUUGAAGGCAAAGGAAGUCUUCUCAGGCUGAUUACUCUCCGUGCACUCCUUUCAGUAUACCUAGAAAUUUUUUAAGUGAGUUAUCCAAUUCAACAAUAGGACAAUCAACAUUAGUAUAUUCUACUAUUUUCGCGAUAAAUGGUUUUAAAGAGUAUAAGCAGGAGUCUAAACUUAAAAGUAAUUAGGGUUUAAAUUUAAUGUUUAUUCUUCUCUUAAUGAGGGAUAUAUAUACUACAUAUAGAGCGAGUACAAAUAGGAAAUAUACACAAACUAGGUAACUAUAAUAAAAUUAAUACAAUAAUUACAUAAUUCUAUUCCUCAUAAGACUAGUUGACUCAUGCCAUCACUCCUCAUCCAGUUGGUAUUCGAAACGUCGUUUUGACACGACAUGGGUCAACAUAUUUGCAAGCUGCUCUGAAGAAGGCACAAAGGGUAUAGCAAUUAGCUUAUGCUCCAUCUUCUCUUUAAUGAAAUGCCGAUCAAUUUGUACAUGCUUAGUUCGAUCAUGUUGCACGGCAUUAUUUGCAAUUUCAAAUGUAGAUUGAUUAUCACAGUGGAGCUUUCUAGCACUGCUCUGCUUAAGCCCGAUUUCAGUAAGCAACCACCUCAACCAUAGUAUCUCACAAACCCCCUGGGCAAUCCCUCUGUAUUCAGACUCUGCAGAAGACCAAGAUAUAACAUUUUGUUUCUUGCUACGUCAUGUAACUCGAUUACCACCAACAAAGGUAAAGUAACUUGAUGUAGAACCUUUAUCUAUAAUAUUUCCUGCAUAAUCUACAUCAGUGUAACCUUCCAGGUCUAAAUGACCAUGUUUUCUAAAUAAUAAACCUCUACCAGAAGCAGACUUAAAGUAACUCAGAAUACACAUCACAACAGCCAUAUGAUCCUUACUAGGUGAAUGCAUAAAUUGAUGACUAGCAACACUCACCACAUAGGCAAUGUAAGGACGUGUUAGUGACAAAUAUAUCAAUUGCCAACCAACCUCUGGUAUCUCUCUUUAUUAGUUGAGACCUGAUCCACAUAAAUCCCAAGUUUAUGAUUCUCCACAAUAGGUGUCUCAGCUGGUUUACAAUCAAGCAUCCAAGUAUCUGCUAACAGGUCCAUGACAUACUUCCUUUGUGAAAGAAAUAAGCUAUGCUUAGAUCGAGUGGCUUCCACACCUAGAAAAUAUUUUAGACUGACCAAAUCUUUCAUCUCAAAUUCAUAUGCUAAACACUUCUACAACUCCUCGAUUUCUACAAUAUCAUCACCAGUCACAAUCAUAUCAUCAACAAAAGAGUUACAUUACCAGCCUUAUGUUUAAUGAACAGAGUAUGAUCAGUAUUGGCUUGUUGGCAACUAAACUUCUUCAUGGCUGCAGUAAAUCUGCCAAACCAUGCCCGAGGAGAAUGCUUUAAGCCAUACAACACCUUUUUUAAUCUGCACACGUUCCUUGUGUUACCAGUGACGCCAUAUCCUGGUGGAAGAUUCAUGUACACCUAUUCUUCUAGUUCACCAUGUAAGAAUGCAGUUUUUGGAUUAGGGAAAGAAGGGUAUUUUGGUCAUUUUUGCCCUACAGCUGCUAGGUGUUGGACAUGCACGGGGUUCUACAAGGAUUCCAAAGUGGAAUUUGGGUUGGGUCAUGUCAGAAAAACUUUGAUAAUGAGCAUAAAUUGAGUUUGAAUCAUCUGAUAAAAAUGCGGCAAGAUAGUGACCACAUUACUUUUAUGUUUCAUCCCAUACAACCACAUCAUACGAGACCGAAAUUGAGACUGUAUUGCACAUUUGUGCUAGAAAAACAUGGAAACAUCAAGAAGAAUCUCAAGAUGGAUGCUUGUGAAUGUGCUAGAAAAACAUGGAAACAUCAAGAAGAAUCUCAAGAUGGAUGCUUGUGGAGCCAAUUUAGGUUGAUAUCUUCUUUGACCACCUUUAUGUGUACGUUUUUGAGAAGGGGUAAGAAGGGUUCCCAUAAAAUUUCAGUCUCUUCGUCACAUAUCACAUUCUUCAACCGUUCAAGGUCCAAAACUGAUGCAGGCAGAUCUUGCAAUCUUGAGCAUUGUCUCAUGUUGAGCUUUUUUAAACUGCACAUCUCACCAAUGUGUUCAGGCAACUCCUUAAUGCUCAAGCAAUAGGAUAUGUCGAGAAACUUUAACUUUUCAAGGUUCCUAAUCGAGUUUGGCAACUCUAACAAGUUUGUACAUGACCUAAGCCUCAACACUUCCAAACUUACUAGCUUUCCAAUCUUUUCAGGCAAGGCGGAUAAGUUAUGACAGUUAGUGAUGCUAAGCUUCUUAAGGCGAAUAAGAUCACAAAGCUCGGCUGGCAAUUCCACCAGAUCAUGGCAAUAAUCUAUGUGCAUUUCAGCUAGAUUUGGCAAUGCAUCUAGAAUUUGGAUGGAACCUUUACCAAAAGCUUGACCGAUGCUACACAUGAAUAAGGAUAUCUUCUGUACACUUUUCAACUGUUUGAGGUUCUUGCUUAUGGAAGGAAUUGAAAUGCGUUCCAAUCUAAUUCUUUUCAGAUUUGAUGACGAACAAAGUAGUUGAAAAUUAUUUAACUCCGAAGGUAAGAAACAGUAAUUUGUGACUAUUAGAACCUUUAAAUUAUCCAUUUUCUUGACAAAUUCGGGUAAGGUGUAGCUGUUUGUUUCAAAAUUUAGAACUAGAACCUCUAAUUUUGGUAGUUGCAUGUUUGGCCAUUUUUUUGAGAACGCUCCAUCUGCAAAAAAACAUGCUAUAAGGUGUGAGUGUGGGAAAUGUGCGGAAGUACUACUGGCGCACAUACGAGUGUAUGUGUGUGCGAAUAUGUGAACAUUUGUGCGUAUGCGUUUUUACUAUAGAGAGAGAAGGAUGGGACAACCAGUUGAGAUAGAUAAUAGUCGAGCCUGCAUGAGCUGAUGCUUUGCCUCUGUCAGCCAGUUAGGAAGAUUGUCUCCACGUAUGUCUGUAGUUAGUCUUUUUCUCUGUCCUAUUGGUUCCUGGCUCGCCUGAUGGAUAGCCAACUCUCUAAGCAUAUCAUGCUGAGUAACAAAGUGUUCAGUGUAAUAGCCAUCCGCCUCCCUCUCAUUCCUGGAUGUUCAAUAAUAAUUUUCUCAUAAGAGAUUUCUUCAACAUAAAUAUUGGAACAGAAAAUUAUGAGAAGCAGUGAGUCGUGAAUAUAAGGGAAAAAGUGGAGUGAUAGUAGCAGACAAGAGGAACAUGGAAUCCUACAUACCUUAUGUCUACAAGAUUAGCUAAACUCUGGGUGGUUAGUUCAUAGAGGUUUGCAAUGGACAGACUAGGUUCGUCUAGCCCAUAUAACUCAGCCCACAUAUCUAUGAGGGUGGCAGCAGAGAUCCUUUGAUCUUUAGGAAAUGAGCAAAAGUCUAGGAAACAUUCCUUGAGGAUAGGUUUUUCUUUGUCCAAGGCAUCUAAGCUGCUUUGGAGGCAAGCAAGCAAAUCACUGUUAGAUGCAAGUAUAGAAGAACCUUUAGACCAUUCCAUUACUUUUUUUCGCCAGAUCUCUAUAGGCUGGCCGCGAAGUGAUCUUCCAACCUCUGUAAUGGCAAGUGGAAAUCCCUUACAGAGCUCUACUAUCUGCAGUCAAUUUUUCCAAAUGAAGUCAAUCAAUAUUUGAGUGCAGGCCCAAAACAGUAGUGUCUAACUUGAUUUCAUGAAGAUGACAAAAUGGUUUAAGUAAUUGUCUACUUAAAAUAGACGUAUAAUCUUUUGCAGGUAGAUAUGGUAAAUGGAAGUGUUCACUAUUCACUCAUGAAUAUAUGGUUGUUUUACAAACAUACACACACAUAUAUAUACAUAUAGGAAUUCUCAGAGCCGGACGUCCAUCCUUUUAACAAAAGAUGAAUUUUGUAUAUAAAAGACGGACGUCCUGUAGAGAGAAAAACCCCUAUAUGUAAUUAUAUGAAAAGCAAACAUAAUCUCUUGACCCUUGUCUGUGACACAUAAAUAAGCAUAUUGUGCUUUGCGGACAAAGAAAUUACCUUUCUUGAAAGGUCUUCCCGAGCAUAAGAGGUUUUAUCAUCCAAGGAUGCUGAAUGACGAAAAAGAGCCAUUGCAUCUGCAUCAUUCAAUGAUUCCAAAUGAUAUGGAGAACCAAAUCUUGGAAAUGCAAAUCUUGACGUGACCAAAACUUUGUAAUUUGACAUUUUGAAUUGAUCAAACUUCUCAAGAAGGGACUCUGAUCCUGACCAAACAUCAUCCAGGACAAACAGUAAAGGACUUUGUCCUGUUUCCUUCAGAAAUUGUUGCAACCAGUUAACCGCAAUUACUUCGUUUUGGAAAGCAGGCACCUGGGAACCCUUCCGUUGAUAUAGUUCAUGUACAAUAAGGUCCAAGUUGGGCUUCUUGGAAAGAGUGACAAAGAAGAUAUUGUCCUUGAAUUUAUCUAUCCAAAUAAGAUAUAAGAAAGGUGCCACUAGAAGCUCAUUUAAAUAUGUCUCCAAUUGUGUAAAUAUGAGCAAUGAUACUUUCAUCCUUCCAUAUCACUAUUACUAGACUGAAAAAGAAGUUCAAAAAAAAAAAAGUAGAGUGAGAUACCUUU
This 39091-nucleotide long non-coding RNA is filed under the name Prunus persica (peach). Its description in RNAcentral is "long non-coding RNA (PPER_LNC007413)". Lineage: Eukaryota; Viridiplantae; Streptophyta; Magnoliopsida; Rosales; Rosaceae. The record is from RNAcentral.